UUAGCGGCGGACGGGUGAGUAACACGUGGAUAACCUACCUAUAAGACUGGGAUAACUUCGGGAAACCGGAGCUAAUACCGGAUAAUAUUUUGAACCGCAUGGUUCAAAAGUGAAAGACGGUCUUGCUGUCACUUAUAGAUGGAUCCGCGCUGCAUUAGCUAGUUGGUAAGGUAACGGCUUACCAAGGCAACGAUGCAUAGCCGACCUGAGAGGGUGAUCGGCCACACUGGAACUGAGACACGGUCCAGACUCCUACGGGAGGCAGCAGUAGGGAAUCUUCCGCAAUGGGCGAAAGCCUGACGGAGCAACGCCGCGUGAGUGAUGAAGGUCUUCGGAUCGUAAAACUCUGUUAUUAGGGAAGAACAUAUGUGUAAGUAACUGUGCACAUCUUGACGGUACCUAAUCAGAAAGCCACGGCUAACUACGUGCCAGCAGCCGCGGUAAUACGUAGGUGGCAAGCGUUAUCCGGAAUUAUUGGGCGUAAAGCGCGC
Molecule: ribosomal RNA, 491 nt
Filed under: Staphylococcus aureus
Lineage: Bacteria; Bacillati; Bacillota; Bacilli; Caryophanales; Staphylococcaceae
Description: bacterial SSU rRNA
Rfam family: Bacterial small subunit ribosomal RNA
Source: RNAcentral